This 210-nucleotide long non-coding RNA is filed under the name Elaeis guineensis (African oil palm). RNAcentral describes it as "long non-coding RNA (EGUI_LNC008435)". The record is from RNAcentral. Lineage: Eukaryota; Viridiplantae; Streptophyta; Magnoliopsida; Arecales; Arecaceae.
AGACAGUACAUUUUUUAGAUUAUGAAGGAGUAAAAGAUAUCUUUUGGAGGGCUACUUGAUUCAUUGAGUCAGCAAAUUAGUAAUCUAUUUCAAAAUUUGGAUAUUUUUGAAAAACAAUAGCUUGGGCCAAUUGAGGAGGUGAAUCAGUUGAAGGCUGAGGUUGUCAACAUUGGAAGAAGAGCUGAAGAGAUUGUUAUUUCAUUGCAUGGG